Molecule: ribosomal RNA, 1446 nt
Filed under: Salmonella enterica subsp. enterica serovar Nchanga
Lineage: Bacteria; Pseudomonadati; Pseudomonadota; Gammaproteobacteria; Enterobacterales; Enterobacteriaceae
Description: bacterial SSU rRNA
Rfam family: Bacterial small subunit ribosomal RNA
Source: RNAcentral
GCCUCUUGCGGCAGGCCUACACAUGCAGUCGAACGGUAACAGGAAGCAGCUUGCUGCUUUGCUGACGAGUGGCGGACGGGUGAGUAAUGUCUGGGAAACUGCCUGAUGGAGGGGGAUAACUACUGGAAACGGUGGCUAAUACCGCAUAACGUCGCAAGACCAAAGAGGGGGACCUUCGGGCCUCUUGCCAUCAGAUGUGCCCAGAUGGGAUUAGCUUGUUGGUGAGGUAACGGCUCACCAAGGCGACGAUCCCUAGCUGGUCUGAGAGGAUGACCAGCCACACUGGAACUGAGACACGGUCCAGACUCCUACGGGAGGCAGCAGUGGGGAAUAUUGCACAAUGGGCGCAAGCCUGAUGCAGCCAUGCCGCGUGUAUGAAGAAGGCCUUCGGGUUGUAAAGUACUUUCAGCGGGGAGGAAGGUGUUGUGGUUAAUAACCACAGCAAUUGACGUUACCCGCAGAAGAAGCACCGGCUAACUCCGUGCCAGCAGCCGCGGUAAUACGGAGGGUGCAAGCGUUAAUCGGAAUUACUGGGCGUAAAGCGCACGCAGGCGGUCUGUCAAGUCGGAUGUGAAAUCCCCGGGCUCAACCUGGGAACUGCAUUCGAAACUGGCAGGCUUGAGUCUUGUAGAGGGGGGUAGAAUUCCAGGUGUAGCGGUGAAAUGCGUAGAGAUCUGGAGGAAUACCGGUGGCGAAGGCGGCCCCCUGGACAAAGACUGACGCUCAGGUGCGAAAGCGUGGGGAGCAAACAGGAUUAGAUACCCUGGUAGUCCACGCCGUAAACGAUGUCUACUUGGAGGUUGUGCCCUUGAGGCGUGGCUUCCGGAGCUAACGCGUUAAGUAGACCGCCUGGGGAGUACGGCCGCAAGGUUAAAACUCAAAUGAAUUGACGGGGGCCCGCACAAGCGGUGGAGCAUGUGGUUUAAUUCGAUGCAACGCGAAGAACCUUACCUGGUCUUGACAUCCACAGAACUUUCCAGAGAUGGAUUGGUGCCUUCGGGAACUGUGAGACAGGUGCUGCAUGGCUGUCGUCAGCUCGUGUUGUGAAAUGUUGGGUUAAGUCCCGCAACGAGCGCAACCCUUAUCCUUUGUUGCCAGCGGUUAGGCCGGGAACUCAAAGGAGACUGCCAGUGAUAAACUGGAGGAAGGUGGGGAUGACGUCAAGUCAUCAUGGCCCUUACGACCAGGGCUACACACGUGCUACAAUGGCGCAUACAAAGAGAAGCGACCUCGCGAGAGCAAGCGGACCUCAUAAAGUGCGUCGUAGUCCGGAUUGGAGUCUGCAACUCGACUCCAUGAAGUCGGAAUCGCUAGUAAUCGUGGAUCAGAAUGCCACGGUGAAUACGUUCCCGGGCCUUGUACACACCGCCCGUCACACCAUGGGAGUGGGUUGCAAAAGAAGUAGGUAGCUUAACCUUCGGGAGGGCGCUACCACUUGAUCGGGGG